This 420-nucleotide ribosomal RNA is filed under the name uncultured Enterobacter sp. Its description in RNAcentral is "bacterial SSU rRNA". It matches the Rfam family "Bacterial small subunit ribosomal RNA", at positions 108 to 524 of the family's 1533-position model. Lineage: Bacteria; Pseudomonadati; Pseudomonadota; Gammaproteobacteria; Enterobacterales; Enterobacteriaceae. The record is from RNAcentral.
GAGUAAUGUCUGGGAAACUGCCUGAUGGAGGGGGAUAACUACUGGAAACGGUAGCUAAUACCGCAUAACGUCGCAAGACCAAAGAGGGGGACCUUCGGGCCUCUUGCCAUCAGAUGUGCCCAGGUGGGAUUAGCUAGUAGGUGGGGUAAUAGCUCACCUAGGCGACGAUCCCUAGCUGGUCUGAGAGGAUGACCAGCCACACUGGAACUGAGACACGGUCCAGACUCCUACGGGAGGCAGCAGUGGGGAAUAUUGCACAAUGGGCGCAAGCCUGAUGCAGCCAUGCCGCGUGUAUGAAGAAGGCCUUCGGGUUGUAAAGUACUUUCAGCGGGGAGGAAGGCAAUGUGGUUAAUAACCACAGUGAUUGACGUUACUCGCAGAAGAAGCACCGGCUAACUCCGUGCCAGCAGCCGCGGUAAU